UGGGGGAUAUUGCACAAUGGGGGAAACCCUGAUGCAGCGAUGCCGCGUGAGGGAAGAAGGUUUUCGGAUUGUAAACCUCUGUGGAGGGGGACGAUAAUGACGGUACCCCUUAAGGAAGCCACGGCUAACUACGUGCC
This 137-nucleotide ribosomal RNA is filed under the name uncultured bacterium. RNAcentral describes it as "partial 16S ribosomal RNA". It matches the Rfam family "Bacterial small subunit ribosomal RNA", at positions 355 to 509 of the family's 1533-position model. The record is from RNAcentral.